Long non-coding RNA from Canis lupus familiaris (dog), 458 nucleotides. RefSeq lists it as uncharacterized. Lineage: Eukaryota; Metazoa; Chordata; Mammalia; Carnivora; Canidae. The record is from RefSeq and is a predicted model, not a curated record. The transcript is spliced from 3 exons.
CCAACGUUUAUCCUGUAGCUAAUUCUCCAUCUGCAAUCUUCUCAUGCAGGCAAGCUAUCUCUCCCAAUGCCUUGUAGCUGUCUGAAGGUAGAAGGAGGUCAUAAUGCAAAUGUAAAGAGAAGGAGCCUCCAGAGAGCUGAGAGGAUGACCCAGAGUGUUUAGUGACAUGGAGGCCAAGGCAAGAGCCUGUGGCUGAAGGAGGGAGAGAUCCACAAUAGCAGACCCAGCCCAGAGCUGCUGGAAGUAAAAGCCAGUCCAUGAGAAACCAAUCACUACUGCUGAAAUAUUAAGAAUGGUCCUGGACUUUGAAGCUGAGGAAAAGCCUUGUCAUCCUAUGGGACUCUGCCCUGUGGCUACUCAGCCCCCUACGUGAUAUCGCUAUCAUCUUUGAUCUAAAACAACAUCUUCAUCAACGCAGAUAUUCAUGAAAUUAUACAAAAGAGGAAUAGCAGUGAAUA